UUUGAUUGAUGGUGAAAAUAAAUUACAAGGAAUUUAAAGACUGAGAACACAAGAGUUUUAUACUGAUUCAGUACCGGUGUGGUACCUACAUCUAAUUCCCUUGGGUCACAAGGGUUCUCUUAGAUCUUCAAUGAUAGUAGCAGUGAUUUUAUGGAUCGUUUACCCAAACGAUUUUCGACAACAGUGUGUUUAUAAACUUGACACAACUCUUACUUUGCUUCCUAACACUUCCUAUCUUUUGAGACACUAGUAAACUUAGGAAUACAGUAUUUGUGCUAAGAACUAGGAAGACAUAGAAAAUAGUGGUAAGUUGCAUAGUUGAAUUCUUUAAUCUGCCAGUCUUCUUAUACGAGAGUCUUGAGUAGCAGUUGCAGAUUGACCCUUGAUUGAGGCACAAAAUAUUCUAAGAGUUUUUACCCAAGGGGUGUCUCCGAAUCCUGCUCAAGAGAUGGGCUGGAUUCAUUUACGUCCUUCCUUUUCAUAUUCAUAAUGAGGGGAGUGAUUUGUGGCUUGACUUGAUCGAUCAAUAUUCAGAAUCUCCAGAUCCCAAAUCAAUCCUUGAAGUAGGGACUGCCUUCCUAUAGCGAUUGCGCUUGAUCUUGUUUCUUUUUUGAUGGCCUUGACAUCCUUUGAUUUAGCAUUGUCCUUGCUGCAUUUGAUCUUGUUUCCUUUAUGAUAUCUUUAACAUAUUGACUACCUUUGAUUUAGUACUGCUUUCCUAAUUUCCUGCAAUUAAAUAGAUACAGUUAGAUUUACAUUAUUGUCAUCAUUGAAACUUAGGUAUAACAAAGUCUAUAUAUAUAAAAUGUCAAAUUCGUUCAAGUAGUACGACGAUGAUUCAUUCUGAUAAUAUUUUUCACGUUAAUGGAAUAAAGACUUGCUCCUUGAGUCCUCUCUCAAACAUGGACCAAGAGCAAAUAGAUUGACACAUAAAACAUUUCUAUUUUGUAGUAGUUGUACACUGUUGUAUGUUAUGCAAAAAGAUUCUGCUUCAAAAGCCCUGGGCUCAGUUUAUCCUUUUCUUCAUUUUCUUACAACUGUGGUAUUCUGCAAAUUUGCGUGCAUUGGUACCUAUUAUCUUCU
Molecule: long non-coding RNA, 1083 nt
Filed under: Nicotiana tabacum (common tobacco)
Lineage: Eukaryota; Viridiplantae; Streptophyta; Magnoliopsida; Solanales; Solanaceae
Description: long non-coding RNA (NTAB_LNC009278)
Source: RNAcentral